CCUACGGGAGGCAGCAGUGAGGAAUAUUCGUCAAUGGGCGGAAGCCUGAACCAGCCAAGUAGCGUGCAGGAUGACGGCCCUACGGGUUGUAAACUGCUUUUAUACGGGAAUAACGCGCCUUACGUGUAGGGCUUUGCAUGUACCGUAUGAAUAAGGACCGGCGAAUUCCGUGACAGCAGCCGUGGUAAUACGGAAGGUCCGGGCGUUAUCCGGAUUUUUUGGGUUUAAAGGGAGCGUAGGCCGCAUGAAAAGCGUGCUGUGAAAUGUCCGGGCCCAACCCGGGCCUUGCAGCGCGAACUGGCGAGCUUGAGUCCGCGGAAGGCAGGCGGAAUUAGUCGUGUAGCGGUGAAAUGCUUAGAUA
RNAcentral lists this ribosomal RNA (361 nucleotides) under uncultured bacterium. RNAcentral's name for it is "partial 16S ribosomal RNA". It matches the Rfam family "Bacterial small subunit ribosomal RNA", at positions 338 to 696 of the family's 1533-position model. The record is from RNAcentral.